GACGAACGCUGGCGGCGCGCCUAACACAUGCAAGUCGAACGAGAAUCAGCUGAUGAAGUUUUCGAAUGGAUUCGGUUGAGGAAAGUGGCGAACGGGCGAGUAACGCGUGAGCAACCUACCUUGUACUGGGGGAUAACGUCGGGAAACCGGCGCUAAUACCGCAUAACAUUACGAUAGCGCAUGUUAUUGUAAUCAAAGCUUUAGUGGUACGAGACGGGCUCGCGUCCAAUUAGCUAGUUGGUGAGGUAAAGGCUCACCAAGGCGACGAUUGGUAGCCGAACUGAGAGGUUGAUCGGCCGCAUUGGGACUGAGACACGGCCCAGACUCCUACGGGAGGCAGCAGUGGGGAAUAUUGCGCAAUGGGGGAAACUCUGACGCAGCGACGCCGCGUGAAGGAAGAAGGCCUUCGGGUUGUAAACUUCUUUGAUCGGGGACGAAAAUGACGGUACCCGAGGAACAAGCCACGGCUAACUACGUGCCAGCAGCCGCGGUAAUACGUAGGUGGCAAGCGUUGUCCGGAAUUACUGGCGUAAAGGGCGUGUANGCGGGGGGACAAGUCAGAUGUGAAAUACCCGCGGCUUAC
This 583-nucleotide ribosomal RNA is filed under the name uncultured bacterium. RNAcentral describes it as "bacterial SSU rRNA". It matches the Rfam family "Bacterial small subunit ribosomal RNA", at positions 28 to 613 of the family's 1533-position model. The record is from RNAcentral.